UACGGGGGGGGCAAACGUUGCUCGGAAUCACUGGGCGUAAAGGGCGUGUAGGCGGGCAGAUAAGUCGGGCGUGAAAUCCCCAGGCUCAACCUGGGAACUGCACUCGAAACUGUUUGUCUUGAGUAUCGGAGAGGAAAGCGGAAUACCUGGUGUAGAGGUGAAAUUCGUAGAUAUCAGGUGGAACACCAGUGGCGAAGGCGGCUUUCUGGACGAUAACUGACGCUGAGACGCGAAAGCGUGGGGAGCAAACAGG
Molecule: ribosomal RNA, 253 nt
Filed under: uncultured bacterium
Lineage: Bacteria
Description: partial 16S ribosomal RNA
Rfam family: Bacterial small subunit ribosomal RNA
Source: RNAcentral